AGGCAGCAGUGGCUGUUAAGCCAACUCAUCACUCACCUAGUCCCACCAGCCCUCAUGGCCCCUUCUUGUUGCAGCCUUUCAUUGCCAUUCCAGAAGCUGGCAGAUAGAGCCGUUGGAAGGGGAGGAAAGGGCGAGGAGAAGGGGGAAUACGUAUCACGUGCAGUAAGAGGGAUUUGGAGAGGCGGGGACCAGCAGGUGUAUUAUUUCCAAACUUGCCUUUUCAAGAUCUUGCAAAUUCCCUUGAAAAAUGACUUAACAGUUUGACAAAAACAACAGUGAAACAAAAGCCGCGUUGAUGAGGGACAGAGACAGAUUGAUACAACGCAAGGAGAGGCAGUGGACAAAUAACCACACUGGUUGCACGAGAUCAUGUUUUUAUUUCAUUUAUCUCAUUGCUGAUGUGAUUUUAGUAAUAGGAUUAUACUUGUCAGCACUCCCUGUUUGAGAAAACACCAACAUAUUUUUAAUGCUAGUUCCCACAUCUCCAUGUCAUUGUCUGUAAUCUCACUAGAGUUUCUCUUGCUGCCCCCACUUCCCCUUUUCCUUAAUGUUCAAAGAAAAAGAGAUUUUAGGUGGCGGGGCUGUGAGGAGAAUUUGUUGGCACAGAGUCCUUUUUUGUUUCUUUCUUCAUAAAUGCAAUUCUGCUAUCUGUAUGAAAAUGA
This is a long non-coding RNA of Choloepus didactylus (southern two-toed sloth), 662 nucleotides long. RefSeq lists it as uncharacterized. The transcript is spliced from 3 exons. NCBI's taxonomy places the organism in Eukaryota, Metazoa, Chordata, Mammalia, Pilosa, Megalonychidae. The record is from RefSeq and is a predicted model, not a curated record.